CUUAUCCCAGCUAAUUUGGGGUUUUGGUGAAGAAAGAUUCACAUUUCUGAACAUACAUUUCUGACACUUUUAAAGCAAUCCUAUUGCACCUUUCACCAGAACUAUCCCAGCUCAUAUCACUUCUCUGGGGGAUAUAACAGGUGUGCAGGACCUAGCCAGAAAGGAUUGCCUGGAAAAUUUAAAGAGGGUCUUCCGUAGAAAACCAUAAAAGGAUCACUAGAAGCAAUUUUGUUGGAUGAGAACAUGUUUCAUUCCAGUGAUACCAUAAAGUCUGGCUUCAAAGAUCUUUCCUGGAAUUUGGUCCUUACCUCACUCAAACACAAAGAGGAAGAGUGGCUUUAAACUUACGGAGUGGUGGUGCUGCCACAGCUCAUGAUUUGGUCAGGUGUAUAGUAUUUCUUCUGAAAGCUUGGGAUCUUGGGUUCAGAUGACUCAGUGGGACUCUCAACAUUAAGGAAACAAAAAAUGGAGUGUCUUCAGGAUCUGGACAACAGCUUGGAGACAACCACAUUUCUAAUGUUAAUAUCAGACAGCAGACAAGAGUUAAAAGUCAAUGUCAGAAAGUACUUAAAAGUACUGCUGAUUAAAAGGCAUUUUUUUGCUUUGUUUUCAGAUUUUAGAUCCCUUCUUAUAUUCUGUGGCCCUUGACUCAUAUCUGCUGCAUGUCAGAGCUUGGCAAUCCUCUGACUUCACCACAGCCAGGAACAUUUUAUGAGUCUUCCCCUUUGGAGUUGUGGGUGCGCCUCUUCAGAGCUGGGGAAGGCUGGGGCAGGGGUGGAAGUCUUCUGCUGGCAGCUAUGGGAGGGUCAAGGAGGCAAUCACUUCCCACAGUCACAGAGGCAUCAGACACCUGUGUAUCUGCCUUGGACAGAUAUUUCCUGCCCCGCAGCCCUAGAGUUCUGUUUGUUCCUCCACAGCCCAGACCCAGGAGCCAAGCAGUGCUGGGGAUAACUCAAGUCUCCUUGGUGGCUCAUUAGUAGCUGAAGAGGGGACUCAGGGGAAAACAUUUCUGUGUGAAAUUCCUGAAGGGCUGCAGCCUCCCUAAUUGAUGGUGUCAAACCUACAAGAGUGCAUGUGCCAAGGCUAGCACAGAGAGUUGGUGUGCUGUUGUGCCCCCUCCCUCAAGCCUCCCUGUACAGCUUCUCUUCUCCAUUUCUACUCUGUUGUCACUGGAGACCGUGGCUGCGAGCACACCCAAGAGACCGUCUUUCUUCUUUGCUUGGGCCUUAGCAGUUUAUAGCAACUAGUGAACAUGAGGAUGGAGAGCUUUUGCUGAGCACUGCCUGGAAAACAAGAGCAUACUCCCUCUUCUGUCGUCUUCCGCGCCUCUGGCCAUGCAACCCAGCAGCAGCUCCUGCACAUGCAUAAAGUGCCACGAGCUUCCUCCAUGUUUAUUAUUGCUAUCUGCCUUCUCCAGCCAGCAUGGAGGUGAGUUGUGCUGGGUGGCAGGACUGGUGCUCAUCCAACUCCUCUGCAGGCUAUCCCUUUCUUCUGUUGCACAAGAAGAAGGUGUGCAUGUGCACACAUUUAUGUGCACACAUGUGCAUGUGUGUGUGCAUGAGCAGAGUCUGACAUUGCUUACUUGGCGCAGAGUAGGUCAAGGUAGGGGAAAGCAUUGUUUAGUCCCUACAUGCCCGCAUGGGAGAGAGGGAGGUGUUCUCUGUGCUGGAUGUGCAAGUGACAUGAACUACUUUAAUCUUCAUUUUUGCCAUUUCCUGCUCCCUGGAAAAAGAAGGAAAGUAAAGUCAGUCCUGAACCACUCACUAUGUGGUGUAUCCUGCCUUAAACAGAGUUUAUAGCAAAGCUACAGUUUAAUAGCAGCCCCUUAAUGAGUCACUCCAGUAGUUUCUUUCUGGAGGAAAAAUGGGAUUAAAAGUAAUUUAAAAUUAUCAAUGCUUCUCCAGUAUUUCACUAUCUGUCCAGUCCUUGACAUUCAAGAAGAACCUAGCUCUGAAAAAAAUCUAUUUGCUAAAAAUAUUGCAAGCCAAAUUUUUAAUUAUUAUGUGGAUGCCCAUUUCUCAUACUACUCACUUAGAAAGUAACACAAUGAAAUGCUUCAUUCCCCAUUAGGAGCUGCUGAGAAAAUGCUGGAGAUACAUUAAAACAUCAAGCUUUCAGAUGACUGCAACUUCUCUGAAAUACUAUUAAAGACAACCAAAAAUGUCUCCAUUAGAAAUACAAAACCAUUUUGUGACCAAUCCUCUCCUUGGAAGCUUUAUUGUAGUUCUAAAGUCAAUUCCUACUCUGUUUUUUUUUUAGAUACAUACUAAACUGUAUUGUGAGAAAAGUAUAAAGAAUUUUUAUUUCCAUUAGAGUUUAUUUUAAUCACCUAAAAAUCAUUCUUAUGGAAAUGAGAAAGACAAAAAGAUUCCCCAGGGACUGAGAAACUUCUCUGAUUUGCAUCAUUAACACUGAAAAGAACUUGCCUGGAAAUGGCCCCUUCACGUUUUCUUUUAUUUACAUUUCCAGACAAAAAUAAAAUUAAUUUCAACAAGGUUUCUUCUAGAUUCAUAUCCCACUUUGAUUAGUCUAGCUAUUCAAACAUGAAUAUAGCUUUCUGUGCUUUGAUGGACUGAUUUAGUCUUUGUUAUACUGGAAUUAUUUCCUUUUUUUUUUUAGUUUUUUACCCCAUUUGUAAAGGGCUUGCAACAUGGGGACUCUCAGAGAUCAGUGAUUGUAUUAGCAUUCAUAAUUAACACCAGUAGUUGUUAAGACACUUUUUGAACGAUUACCAUUUGUGGCGCAGAAUGAGAGAAAAGUGACAUUCAUUUAACUAAACUCUGCAGUUUUUGUUUAACAAGCCUGUCCAAGCAUAAGCAAAAUGAAAAAACAGAGAACACUAAAUAUGUAUUCUAAUGCAGACAAAUUUCUAUGAUAAAGUAGUUCUUUCAUGGCUCAAAUCAAAAUUUUAAACAGUUUACCUUCUUUGUGUCUUCUGAAGAGUUUUACGUAACAAACUUUCAGUGUCAUCACUAAUAGCAGUUCAUGCCAAGGAUUACUUUCUUAAAACUGCUACUCAAGCCUUGUGAUUUGCAGUACACUUCUUAUUACAGGAUACAUUAUGCAGAAACCCUCUGCUAUGUGAUGGGACAUGGCAACCCUGCUGUGAGAAUGCCUAUCAGCGCUUCUUUUAAGGCCCUUUCUCAAUUGUCAGCAAAGUAUUUUUUAAGGUUAAAAGGUGUAAAAUUAUUCUGAAAUGCUUUUCUGACCUGUCGCCUAUCACUGCAAAAAGCUAUAGUUCUUUUUUUUUCUAAAAUUGUAUUUUUUAAAUGUGAUAAUAUUAUAAGAAUAAAGCUAGUAAGAGAAAUAUA
This is a long non-coding RNA of Pezoporus occidentalis (night parrot), 3311 nucleotides long. RefSeq lists it as uncharacterized. The transcript is spliced from 2 exons. The record is from RefSeq and is a predicted model, not a curated record. Lineage: Eukaryota; Metazoa; Chordata; Aves; Psittaciformes; Psittacidae.